UACGGAGGGUGCAAGCGUUAUCCGGAUUCACUGGGUUUAAAGGGUGCGUAGGUGGGUCUGUAAGUCAGUGGUGAAAUCUCCGUGCUUAACAUGGAAACUGCCAUUGAUACUAUAGGUCUUGAAUUUUCUGGAGGAUAGCGGAAUAUGUCAUGUAGCGGUGAAAUGCUUAGAUAUGACAUAGAACACCAAUUGCGAAGGCAGCUAUCUACAGGGAUAUUGACACUGAGGCACGAAAGCGUGGGGAUCAAACAGG
Molecule: ribosomal RNA, 253 nt
Filed under: uncultured bacterium
Lineage: Bacteria
Description: partial 16S ribosomal RNA
Rfam family: Bacterial small subunit ribosomal RNA
Source: RNAcentral